RNAcentral lists this microRNA precursor (97 nucleotides) under Strigamia maritima. RNAcentral describes it as "mir-130 microRNA precursor family". It matches the Rfam family "mir-130 microRNA precursor family". From Rfam's summary of the family: The hairpin precursors (represented here) are predicted based on base pairing and cross-species conservation -- their extents are not known. In this case the mature sequence is excised from the 3' arm of the hairpin. The record is from Rfam by way of RNAcentral. Lineage: Eukaryota; Metazoa; Arthropoda; Chilopoda; Geophilomorpha; Linotaeniidae.
UCCAAAUGAUACUUCUUCUAACAUUGCUGCACUGUUGGCAACAGUGCAGCAAUGUUGGCCAACAGUGCAGCAAUGUUAGAAGAAGUGUCAUUUGGAA